This 147-nucleotide non-coding RNA is filed under the name Sinobacterium norvegicum. RNAcentral describes it as "FMN". It matches the Rfam family "FMN riboswitch aptamer (RFN element)". Rfam says of the family: The RFN element is a highly conserved domain that is found frequently in the 5'-untranslated regions of prokaryotic mRNAs that encode for flavin mononucleotide (FMN) biosynthesis and transport proteins. Lineage: Bacteria; Pseudomonadati; Pseudomonadota; Gammaproteobacteria; Cellvibrionales; Spongiibacteraceae. The record is from RNAcentral.
UGAGAUUCUCAGGGCGGGGUGAAAGUCCCCACCGGCGGUAAUCACGUUUACGUGUAGCCCGCGGGCGCUUGUCGACACUCUCGGCAAGGACAGCAGACUCGGUGCGAUUCCGAGGCCGACGGUUAAAGUCCGGUUAUGAGAUUGUGG